GUCUCAGAAAUACAACCAGCUUGUUCACCCUUUUUGCAAACCUCUUUUCAGGCUUGGACAACCUGGCUGCGACAGUGGAACCCUCCUAAAAAACGGGUGCCAAGAGACAUAACUGGUGUUGUGGGAACAGAAUUGGGAAUCAAUUCAGAGCUCCAGUUACCUUACAUGAACUUUUAGAAUCCAAUCUCAUGUUGAUUCACAAGCUACUGCCUACUCCCAUUGGGAUGAACCUUACUUUGGUAAAGCAACCAUUACUUCAUCAAGAUCUAAUAGAGAUCCUAGGAAAAAUCAAGGAGAAUGGACAGAAAACUCUGUCCUGAAGACUCCACGACGACACCAUGGAACCCUGCUGAUGAAGAUCUUUCGAGGGCAAUCGUCACUCACGGGGUGGUGUAAGAGCCCGUCUGAAGCCCCUCAUUUUCCAUUCUGCCUUCCGAUUGCCACAAGAAAGAAUCCCUUCCUCCACUGCAGUUCCGGCUUAGAACAGGACACAGUGCAGGUGCAACCACUGAACCGUCAUGCUGGCUGAUCCCAACAAGGCCUGGUAAGAACUUGGCAAGGACUUGGCAAGGACUUGGCAAAGACCUGACGUGGACCCAGCACGGGGCAGCCUGAUGCGCGGCCUGCUUCUAAUCUCCGUUCUUAAGCCAAAUGAACUUUUGGGGUGACUCCCGGGGUCCUUCAUUGAAGACCCCUCAUCUGCCUCGUUACCAGUGUGACAAACAAAGAAUGAGAACCCUCCUCCCAAGGACUGAGACUGAGACCCCUGCUAUAGAGAGGAGGGGAAAUUGGUGGUCUGACCACUAAUGACAUGACCUGUUUCCCUUCAGUGAUUCAAAUGGACUUAUUCUUCAUUGGAUUCGUCUUGCUUUGGUGGUUUCUGUGGACUCACCUGUUCCCGCGUGGCGAUUACAAUGGACUUUCGUUGUUACACUUGCUCCCCCCUCUUUCCUCUGUGGACUAUAACUGGAGCCCCGAGUCGACCAGAACUUCGGAGACUCCCCCGACAAGACAGACGGAUCCCCAUCGUCCGGACCACUGAGGAUCUCGCCUGUGUUGGUAGCUAUUCCCAUACCCCUCUUCUCUCUCUCUCUCUCUCUCCUUUUAUCUCCUUUCCGAUCCCCACUAUCGCAUUUACUGUUUUGGCCCCUAAUAAAGGUGCAUUUGUUGUGAUUAA
Vidua chalybeata is the source of this 1177-nucleotide long non-coding RNA. RefSeq lists it as uncharacterized. The record is from RefSeq and is a predicted model, not a curated record. Lineage: Eukaryota; Metazoa; Chordata; Aves; Passeriformes; Viduidae. The transcript is spliced from 3 exons.